GAGGACAACUUUCCAAAGUCGUUGAACUUAGAGGCCGAAAAUGGCUGCCUCUAAUCCUCUAAUCCUUAAAUCCUUACUCAACCUCCACUAAGCCUAAUAUCACACCCAAAGUUCUAACACGCAAACCUUGCUCACAACCUAGGAAUUCUACAUCUUAACAAGCUCACAACAACAAGAGCUAGCUAAAACACAGCAACCUAAGCCAUAAACAUAGUCGAACGCGCUGCCACGCGCCGCCACAGGCGGCGGCGAGUUGGCCCCACGCGCCAAAAACUUUCGAAUUUGAGAAAACUCUCAACAGCAAAGUUGAAGCUUGAAGCAAAGGGAACAACUUUCAUACCUGAGGCUUCAACCAAUUUUGGCCGGAACCGGCCGGAAAAUGCCACGAAACCCUAACCCGGAAUCAAACUUCAAACUUGCAAAUCCGGGCUCAAAAACCUCAAAACUUGAUUCAAUCUAUGCCUAGACACUACCAGGAGGAGGAGAGGAUCAAGACUCACCUAAGGAUGCCCCUCGUCGCCGCCGGAAACGGCGAGUCCGACCGGAGACACAGCAGCCCUCUUUCCAGCAAUAAGGCUCCGAUUCCGGCGUGCCACACCGAGCAGCAGCUGCCCAGUCUUGAAGAGAGCACUUGUGGGAGUCAAAUGGGACCAGUGGCGGUCCAAUUGGUGGCUGGACGGCGGAGCUAGCUCCGGCGGAAGUUUGGUGUGCGGGUGAGUUCGGGAGAGGAAGAGAGAGAAAAGAGAGAAGAGAGUGAACUGGGUGAGGAGAGUGAGAAGAGAGAGAGCUGAUUUGUGUUAGGGUUUCCAAAAUAACCCACACACAAUUUUCUACUUAAACACUUUCCACACCCGGAAACUAACUUCCUCUGACCAUAACUUUCUCAUACGACAUCCGUUUUAAGCGUACCGUAUGUCUACGAACUCGUAUCGACAAACUCUACAACUUUCAAGAAGGAAGUUUUCGAAAAUAACUUACGGAAAAUAAAGUCAACUUUUGGCCUCUUAAAAGUCAAAACACCUUAAAAUAAACUCCUGAAACUUCAACUUCGCAUAAACCAAAGAAUUUCCAUAAAUAAUCCUUCAUUAAUUAAGGAAAUAAUACAAGAAAAAAUGAUAUGAAAAUCUAGGGUAUUACAAGCAAUAUCGCCAAGGAGAAAGAAGAACAUAACCUCGACAUCGCUUAACCCGAGUUCCUAUCUCUUCCAUUGUGUCUUCCAUGCUAUCUUUAUUUCUAGUCAUGUUUUCUUUGGCUAUGGAUUUCUAAACUUCUAGCUAGGGCUGAGAUAAAGCCCCCAGUAUGAUUACUCUAUUUUUUUAGUUGAUUUCUUUUGAAUUCAUGGAUUUCUAUGUUAAAUUCUCAAUCACUGUUUCAAUUGAACUUUUAUUCAAAAUCUUUGCUCAGGACCAAUAAGACCUAGGUUUUGUUUAUUAGUUAUUUGGCUAGAAAACAUGAGACUUGAUCGAGAGUAGAUGUUUUCUAGGGUUUCAAAGGAUUUAUUUAAUCUUGUGAUUAGAGAGUUGUAAGUUAAGGAUACAAGUGUUUGAUCAUAGUCGAUAUUCUUGUUUACAUGAUCUCCUAGUUCUUUUGUGUUUAAUGGAGUUGAACAUGUGUCAGGACCCACCCCGGAUUUCACCCUGAAAUCCGGAAUGAACACUGCGGGGAUCAACUCCAAAGAAGAUGCUACCGGAAAUUCAGCAUAACAUCCCUUGAAAAUAGACAACUCUUCCUAAAAACACCUGCAAACACACUUAUAAAAAAAUCAUACUCCAACCUUGUACUCCUGGAGCCUUCCUGCUCCCCAAGUUCAUCACAUCUCCCAAAAUAUCAAAUACUAAUCUAAAAGAAUCUCACUUCUAACAACAAAGACAUUUAAUAAUUUAUUAACUCGAUUAUCAUAACAUAUAUAAUAAUGAAAGAAAAAUAAUGAAUAAAGAAUAAGCGGAAACAGCCUCUGACUAUGCCUCGACUCUAUGUACGCUCGACCUCAAAUAAACUUAGUCUGCAAACUGGGCAUUUGAAACCGAAGAACCCAGAGGAAAGUAAUUUAAAACGUUAGAGUGAGUGGACAAAAAUAAAUUGAAUAAUUUAACAUAAAUGUAAUUUAAAUACUUUCCCACGUUUAAACUUUAAAAACUUAGAUGCACGCAACUUUAAUCAUCCAAAAAAACUUUAAAUCCAGAGUCACGAAAGAAUGAACAAACCAGCAAUACUGAAAUUUUGUAAGAAGAGACAAACCAGCCCCGUUGGUUAAUCAAUUACAUAAAUGAGAAAAUAAAACAAGGGGAAGAAAUAUAUCACCAUGUAAGAGGAGCUUCUUAGACUCGGGUCGGAACCUCCCAGACUCUAGUAGCGUCCCACGCUAAGCGCUCGACUCACCUAUGGUGAGGACCGUUAAUAAAGGCUAGCUAGCAAUGAACAAUAACCGAUUAGUGUCUCCCAGGCUAUAAUAGCGUCUCACGCUAAGCGCUCAACUCACCUAUGAUGAGGACCGCAUGCUAGCUAGUAAUGAAUAAGAGCUAGUAUGGUGACUAAAAACAUACGAAAUCACUAUUCAUAAAGCUUCCCUAAGAUCAUGUGAAUAGUACGGUUCUCAACCGUACUUAGAAAUUAUCAUCAGAAAUUAAAAUAAAACUCAAUGACGUGUCUCACGUCAAAAUAUUCUCAAAUUUAUAAUUAUAAGCGAGAUUUCAUUAUAAAUCAUAAAUAAUAUCUCCACCUGAAAUACUCACUAAACAAUUCUCAAUGUCAAGAUCAUUAUGCGACAAAUAAACGAGAAAAUUAUGAUGGAGAACUACCAGAAGUCCCAUUUUCGGUAUUCUUUUAUAAAUCUCAAAGUCAACAAAUAAAACAAUAAGAAUUAAAUCCGGAAUUGAUAAAGAAUAUCAAAACUCAAAUACCAAAUUAAUAACCCGACCUCAAAUCCAUAAAUCAUGACAAACUCUUAAUCAAUGCAUCAAACUCAAAUAAAUUUCAAGACCAUAUCAUAAACCGAAAUUUAUAAUAUAAGCUCGGAAAAUAGAAUGAUAAUUUCCAAAAUAAACCAUGCAUGCUUAUUCAUUUAAAAACAAAGUGUCCACUCACCGUAUUAGGCAUAAGCUUUCCAUUGCUCAUGACACUCCUCGCGCGCUGCCUCCAAAUAUCCAAGUCCUUGAGUCAAUCCCACACCUGACCAUAAGCUGUAGGACAAAUCGGUCAAACCGAACUUUGAAAUAACCAUUGCCUCGUCUUCUUUCCUAGUUUGACUCGGGUUUCCUAGGUUGACCAGGAUUUACCAAUUAACGAUGUUCAACGUUUUCCAAUCCAACCUUUGACUUAACAAUUCGAUACAAUUUUCACUAUACGUCCUACUAACAGUUAGGCACUUAGGCGUCGCUUAAUAAUUCGUUUUGGUGAACCUCGAUUUUGAUUAAUCAAACUAAUGUAAUUUGAUUAACUCAAAAACAUACGAACCACCUUAAUCUGAAAAACCACCAAAUUACUAAGGGCACCCAAAAGGGUUUGCAUAACCGAAAAGUUUUCAAAAAUGGAAAGUUUCUUAAAAUAGAAACUUUCAUAACUUGGUAAUUUUUCCAAUUACAACCCGAACUUUCCUAUUUCCGAAGUGACAUAAAACAAAAACAAAACAUCGAUCACUACCUCUACCAAAAUAUUUUGCCGGAAUUUCACGAUAGUCUCCCUGUAUCUUCCAAUCUGCAAGUUAUCGACAAGCAUGUAGAAAAUUAAACGAUUUAACCACCAGUCCAACAGAAUAUCGCACUAGCCACAACACAGAAGCUUUUAAGAAACGGGAUUUACCCUCUACUUUCCAGAACGAAGAAUACGAUAAUCGAAGCUCCUCCUUACCUCAGCCAUGACCAAAUCGGAGAACCAACAGAAAAACAGGGAACCUCCCUUCGCCAGAAAACCUCUGCCUCCAACCCUUCCCAGGACGCGUCUUGGCUCCAAUCAACUAUUUCUAGACUCACCGGAUCUCGGUGGUCUCGCUAGAGCACCAAGAACAAACUCGCCGGAAAAACCUCGACAAAAACACAAAAGAGGGUUUUUUGAAUUAGUGCUCGAAUUAAGAAAACAAAGACACCAAAAGGGAGAGGAAAGAGAGGCGACCAAGAAUAUACCCAACGAAAUCGUCAUCUCCACCGAAGCUCGUUGGGAAUUGAAGAAGAAGACAACCGCACACCACCGCGAUCAACCUCCCUCUAUAAUGGAUGCAAGUUAGAUUGUUUUGGCUAGGCUAGGAAGGAGAGAAGAAAAGAAGAAGUUUAAUGGUGGUCUCGCCGUCUGGGGUGGCCGGAAGAGGCCAGUGCGUGGCGGAGGAGGAUGGCUACGACGGAGAGAGAGAGAGAGAGAGAGAGAAGAAAAAGGGAGACGGGUCAAUGCCCAUAGGGGGCUUUUGACCGAACUCAACCUCCUAUUUUCCUUUUAUGUUUAAUCCAAAGGCCAAGAUCAAAACCCUAAUUGAUCCGACGGCCCAGAUUAAUCCACAAUUUUCUAAUUUCAGAAAAAUUAAUUUCUUUUUAC
RNAcentral lists this long non-coding RNA (4521 nucleotides) under Fragaria vesca (wild strawberry). Its description in RNAcentral is "long non-coding RNA (FVES_LNC005466)". The record is from RNAcentral. Lineage: Eukaryota; Viridiplantae; Streptophyta; Magnoliopsida; Rosales; Rosaceae.